Molecule: transfer RNA, 74 nt
Filed under: Bacteroidota bacterium
Lineage: Bacteria; Pseudomonadati; Bacteroidota
Description: Bacteroidetes bacterium (activated sludge metagenome) tRNA-His
Rfam family: tRNA
About the family: Transfer RNA (tRNA) molecules are approximately 80 nucleotides in length. Their secondary structure includes four short double-helical elements and three loops (D, anti-codon, and T loops).
Source: RNAcentral
GAGGUAUUAGCUCAGUUGGUUAGAGCGUCGGAUUGUGGUUCCGAAGGUCGUGGGUUCGACCCCCAUAUAUCUCC